CCUACGGGUGGCAGCAGUGGGGGAUAUUGCACAAUGGGGGAAACCCUGAUGCAGCGACGCCGCGUGGGUGAUGGAGUGCUUCGGGAUGUAAAGCCCUAUCAGCGGGGAAGAAAAUGACGUUACCUGACUAAGAAACCACGGCUAAAUCCGGGCCAGAAGCCGGGGUAAUCAGGAUGGGGCAAGGGUUUGCCGGAUUUCCUGGGUGUAAAGGGGGCGUAGGCGGCCUGGCAAGCUUGAUGUGAAAUACCGGGGCCCAACCCCGGGGCUGCAUUGGGAACUGCCAGGCUGGAGUGCCGGAGAGGCAGGCGGAAUUCCUAGUGUAGCGGUGAAAUGCGUAGAGAUUAGGAGGAACACCAGUGGCGAAGGCGGCCUGCUGGACGGUGACUGACGCUGAGGCUCGAAAGCGUGGGGAGCAAACAGGAUUAGAUACCCGAGUAGUC
Molecule: ribosomal RNA, 440 nt
Filed under: uncultured bacterium
Lineage: Bacteria
Description: partial 16S ribosomal RNA
Rfam family: Bacterial small subunit ribosomal RNA
Source: RNAcentral